UACACUCCUACGGGAGGCAGCAGUGAGGAAUAUUGGACAAUGGGUGGAAGCCUGAUCCAGCCAUCCCGCGUGCAGGAAGACGGCCCUAUGGGUUGUAAACUGCUUUUAUCUGGGGAUAAACCUACUUACGUGUAAGUAGCUGAAGGUACCAGAAGAAUAAGCACCGGCUAACUCCGUGCCAGCAGCCGCGGUAAUACGGAGGGUGCAAGCGUUAUCCGGAUUUAUUGGGUUUAAAGGGUCCGUAGGCGGACUGAUAAGUCAGUGGUGAAAUCCGACAGCUUAACUGUCGAACUGCCAUUGAUACUGUUAGUCUUGAGUAAGGUUGAAGUGGCUGGAAUAAGUAGUGUAGCGGUGAAAUGCAUAGAUAUUACUUAGAACACCAAUUGCGAAGGCAGGUCACUAAGUCUUAACUGACGCUGAUGGACGAAAGCGUGGGGAGCGAACAGGAUUAGAAACCCCGGUAGUCCCAUG
RNAcentral lists this ribosomal RNA (471 nucleotides) under uncultured organism. Its description in RNAcentral is "partial 16S ribosomal RNA". It matches the Rfam family "Bacterial small subunit ribosomal RNA", at positions 332 to 799 of the family's 1533-position model. The record is from RNAcentral.